RNAcentral lists this ribosomal RNA (544 nucleotides) under uncultured bacterium. RNAcentral's name for it is "bacterial SSU rRNA". It matches the Rfam family "Bacterial small subunit ribosomal RNA", at positions 777 to 1320 of the family's 1533-position model. The record is from RNAcentral.
AAUAGAUACCCAGGUAGUCCACGCCGUAAACGAUGAGUGCUAAGUGUUGGGGGGUUUCCGCCCCUCAGUGCUGCAGCUAACGCAUUAAGCACUCCGCCUGGGGAGUACGGUCGCAAGACUGAAACUCAAAGGAAUUGACGGGGGCCCGCACAAGCGGUGGAGCAUGUGGUUUAAUUCGAAGCAACGCGAAGAACCUUACCAGGUCUUGACAUCCCGGUGACCACUAUGGAGACAUAGUUUCCCCUUCGGGGGCAACGGUGACAGGUGGUGCAUGGUUGUCGUCAGCUCGUGUCGUGAGAUGUUGGGUUAAGUCCCGCAACGAGCGCAACCCUUAUUCUUAGUUGCCAUCAUUUAGUUGGGCACUCUAAGGAGACUGCCGGUGAUAAACCGGAGGAAGUGGGGAUGACGUCAAAUCAUCAUGCCCCUUAUGACCUGGGCUACACACGUGCUACAAUGGACGGUACAAACGGUUGCCAACCCGCGAGGGGGAGCUAAUCCGAUAAAACCGUUCUCAGUUCGGAUUGUAGGCUGCAACUCGCCUACA